AUUGAACGCUGGCGGCAGGCCUAACACAUGCACGUCGAGCGGAGCGGCGGACGAGUGAGUCCUGCCUAGGAACCUGCCUGGUAGUGGGGGAUAACGUACGGAAACGGGCGCUAAUACAGCAUACUAUAAGAAUAGCCUAGGUCGGAUUAGCUCGUUGGUGGGGUAAAGGCAUACCAGGGCGACGAUCCGGACCUGGUCUGAGAGGAUGAUCAGUCACAUGGUAACUGAGACACGGUCCAGACGCCUACGGGAGGCAGCAGUGGGGAAUAUUGGACAAUGGGCGAAAGCCUGAUCCAGCCAUGCCGCGUGUGUGAAGAAGGGCUUCGGAUUGUAAAGCAAUUUAAGUUGGGAUGCGUUACCAACAGAAUAAGCACCGGCUAACUUCGUGCUAGCAGCCGCGGUAAUAC
This 407-nucleotide ribosomal RNA is filed under the name uncultured bacterium. RNAcentral's name for it is "partial 16S ribosomal RNA". It matches the Rfam family "Bacterial small subunit ribosomal RNA", at positions 30 to 526 of the family's 1533-position model. The record is from RNAcentral.